Molecule: ribosomal RNA, 467 nt
Filed under: uncultured bacterium
Lineage: Bacteria
Description: partial 16S ribosomal RNA
Rfam family: Bacterial small subunit ribosomal RNA
Source: RNAcentral
GAUGAAUGCUGGCGGCGUGCCUAACACAUGCAAGUCGAGCGGCAGCGCGAGUAGCUUACUACUUGGCGGCGAGCGGCGGACGGCUGAGUAACGCGUGGGAACGUGCCCCAAAGUGAGGAAUAACUGCCCGAAAGGGUGGCUAAUACCGCAUAUGAUCUUCGGAUUAAAGUCUUCGGACGCUUUGGGAGCGGCCCGCGUCGGAUUAGGUUGUUGGUGAGGUAAUGGCUCACCAAGCCGACGAUCUGUAGCUGGUCUGAGAGGAUGAUCAGCCAGACUGGGACUGAGACACGGCCCAGACUCCUACGGGAGGCAGCAGUGAGGAAUCUUCCACAAUGGGCGAAAGCCUGAUGGAGCAACGCCGCGUGCAGGAUGAAGGCCUUCGGGUCGUAGACUGCUUUUAUGAGUGAAGAAUAUGACGGUAACUCAUGAAUAAGCACCGGCUAACUACGUGCCAGCCGCCGCGGUAA